RNAcentral lists this ribosomal RNA (253 nucleotides) under uncultured bacterium. RNAcentral describes it as "partial 16S ribosomal RNA". It matches the Rfam family "Bacterial small subunit ribosomal RNA", at positions 524 to 776 of the family's 1533-position model. The record is from RNAcentral.
UACGUAGGGGGCGAGCGUUAUCCGGAUUUACUGGGUGUAAAGGGAGCGUAGACGGUUCUGCAAGUCUGAAGUGAAAGCCCGUGGCUUAACCGCGGAACGGCUUUGGAAACUGUGGAACUGGAGUGCUGGAGAGGCAAGCGGAAUUCCUGGUGUAGCGGUGAAAUGCGUAGAUAUUAGGAGGAACACCAGUGGCGAAGGCGGCUUGCUGGACAGUAACUGACGUUGAGGCUCGAAAGCGUGGGGAGCAAACAGG